GAUCCUGGCUCAGGACGAACGCUGGCGGCGUGCUUAACACAUGCAAGUCGAACGAUGAAAGUCGUUUUGAUAUCUUCGGAUUGAUAAACUUCUGGAUUAGUGGCGGACGGGUGAGUAACGCGUGAGCAAUCUGCCUUACACAAAGGGAUAGCCUCGGGAAACCGGGAUUAAUACCAUAUGAUAUCUACAAGCCGCAUGGCCUAUAGAUUAAAGAAUUUCGGUGUAAGAUGAGCUCGCGU
This 239-nucleotide ribosomal RNA is filed under the name uncultured bacterium. Its description in RNAcentral is "partial 16S ribosomal RNA". It matches the Rfam family "Bacterial small subunit ribosomal RNA", at positions 15 to 236 of the family's 1533-position model. The record is from RNAcentral.